GAUGAACGCUGGCGGCGUGCCUAAUACAUGCAAGUCGAGCGAACAGACGAGGAGCUUGCUCCUCUGACGUUAGCGGCGGACGGGUGAGUAACACGUGGAUAACCUACCUUUAAGACUGGGAUAACUUCGGGAAACCGGAGCUAAUACCGGAUAAUAUAUUGAACCGCAUGGUUCAAUAGUGAAAGACGGUUUUGCUGUCACUUAUAGAUGGAUCCGCGCCGCAUUAGCUAGUUGGUAAGGUAACGGCUUACCAAGGCAACGAUGCGUAGCCGACCUGAGAGGGUGAUCGGCCACACUGGAACUGAGACACGGUCCAGACUCCUACGGGAGGCAGCAGUAGGGAAUCUUCCGCAAUGGGCGAAAGCUUGACGGAGCAACGCCGCGUGAGUGAUGAAGGUCUUCGGAUCGUAAAACUCUGUUAUUAGGGAAGAACAAAUGUGUAAGUAACUAUGCACGUCUUGACGGUACCUAAUCAGAAAGCCACGGCUAACUACGUG
Molecule: ribosomal RNA, 497 nt
Filed under: uncultured bacterium
Lineage: Bacteria
Description: partial 16S ribosomal RNA
Rfam family: Bacterial small subunit ribosomal RNA
Source: RNAcentral